GCCCGAGUGGCGGAACUGGCAGACGCUGGGGACUUAAAAUCCCCUGAUCUUUUGAUCGUGAGGGUUCGAGUCCCUCCUCGGGCA
This 84-nucleotide transfer RNA is filed under the name Phycisphaerae bacterium SM23_30. RNAcentral describes it as "tRNA-Leu". It matches the Rfam family "tRNA". Rfam says of the family: Transfer RNA (tRNA) molecules are approximately 80 nucleotides in length. Their secondary structure includes four short double-helical elements and three loops (D, anti-codon, and T loops). Lineage: Bacteria; Pseudomonadati; Planctomycetota; Phycisphaerae. The record is from RNAcentral. RNAcentral also lists the same sequence under 1 other name.